AACGAACGCUGGCGGCAUGCCUAACACAUGCAAGUCGAGCGCCCGUAGCAAUACGGGAGCGGCGCACGGGUGAGUAACGCGUGGGAACCUGCCCAGAGGUCUGGGACAACCGCGGGAAACUGCGGCUGAUACCGGAUGAUUCCUGAGGGACAAAGAUUUAUCGCCUUUGGAGGGGCCCGCGUCGGAUUAGGUAGUUGGUGGGGUAACGGCUCACCAAGCCUAUGAUCCGUAACUGGUCUGAGAGGAUGACCAGUCACACUGGGACUGAGACACGGCCCAGACUCCUACGGGAGGCAGCAGUGGGGAGUAUUGGACAAUGGGGGGCAACCCUGAUCCAGCAAUGCCGCGUGGGUGAUGAAGGCCUUCGGGUUGUAAAG
RNAcentral lists this ribosomal RNA (377 nucleotides) under uncultured bacterium. Its description in RNAcentral is "bacterial SSU rRNA". It matches the Rfam family "Bacterial small subunit ribosomal RNA", at positions 29 to 430 of the family's 1533-position model. The record is from RNAcentral.